RNAcentral lists this ribosomal RNA (460 nucleotides) under uncultured bacterium. RNAcentral describes it as "partial 16S ribosomal RNA". It matches the Rfam family "Bacterial small subunit ribosomal RNA", at positions 338 to 795 of the family's 1533-position model. The record is from RNAcentral.
CCUACGGGAGGCAGCAGUGAGGAAUAUUGGUCAAUGGGCGCGAGCCUGAACCAGCCAAGUAGCGUGAAGGAUGACUGCCCUACGGGUUGUAAACUUCUUUUAUAAAGGAAUAAAGUGAGGCACGUGUGCCUUUUUGUAUGUACUUUACGAAUAAGGAUCGGCUAACUCCGUGCCAGCAGCCGCGGUAAUACGGAGGAUCCGAGCGUUAUCCGGAUUUAUUGGGUUUAAAGGGAGCGUAGAUGGGUUGUUAAGUCAGUUGUGAAAGUUUGCGGCUCAACCGUGAAAUUGCCAUUGAUACUGGCAGGCUAGAGGACAGUUGAGGUAGGCGGAAUUCGUGGUGUAGCGGUGAAAUGCAUAGAGAUCACACAGAACACCGAUUGCGAAGGCAGCUUACUAAACUGCCACUGACAUUGAUGCACGAAAGUGUGGGGAUCAAACGGGAUUAGAUACCCCUGUAGUC